CACACAGGAAGCCAGAGUGAAAGGCUUGAGAAGCAGAACACAAAAGGCCGGUGGUAGCUGGUCCCAUGCAGGAAGGUGAGGUUCUGGAGGUCCCUCCGCCCCCUCUGGACAUCGAGGGGUCCUCGGCGUACACGAUACGAGCUAUUCUGGACUCAAGACGCCGGGUGAGGGGCAUGCAGUACCUCGUUGACUGGGAGGGGUAUGAUCCGGAUCGCCCUGUGCCUCGGCCCCCGGGUCAUCCCCGAGGCCGGCGUCAGGGGGGGGGGGGUUACUGUCACGAAUAUUACCGAAGGUGGCUCCCCUUCUUGUUCGGGUGGGGCUCGGCGGUCGACGUCGCCGGUCUACUAGCUGCCACCGAUCCUUUGUUCCGUGUUCGUUUGGUUUUGUCUAAUUGUUUUCACCUGUUCAUUGUUUGGUUGUUAGGGUGGUGUUAUUUAAGUUAGUUUAGCCCGAUUCUGUUUGUGCGGGCUUGUUAUUCUGUAUUUGUGAGAGGUGUUAGUGUUUUGUUGGGUUUUCUCGCUGUCCUGGUAUUUUUACCUGAGGGUACAUAUUGUAGUAAUAGUUACGCCUGUGUUGGGUAUAACUAUUUUGUUCUUUUUGAUUUUGGACAUUAAAGCGUGUUUUUUUCCCGCA
Molecule: long non-coding RNA, 633 nt
Organism: Oncorhynchus masou masou (cherry salmon)
Lineage: Eukaryota; Metazoa; Chordata; Actinopteri; Salmoniformes; Salmonidae
Exons: 2
Source: RefSeq, a predicted model, not a curated record